Sinocyclocheilus anshuiensis is the source of this 350-nucleotide long non-coding RNA. RefSeq lists it as uncharacterized. NCBI's taxonomy places the organism in Eukaryota, Metazoa, Chordata, Actinopteri, Cypriniformes, Cyprinidae. The transcript is spliced from 4 exons. The record is from RefSeq and is a predicted model, not a curated record.
CUGGAUUUUGUCCGCUCUUGAUCAGCUGCAGCUAAACCCUUCUCCUGCUGUGGCAGUACUUCCUCUGGGCACGGGAAAUGACCUCGCUAGGACGCUAAACUGGGGUGGGGGUUACACAGAUGAACCUCUGAGUAAAAUCCUGUCUCACGUUGAGGAUGGGAAUAUUGUGCAGCUGGAUCGAUGGAAUCUUAUUGUGAAGCCCAACCCAGAGGCGGGGUCAGAGGAAAGAGACGAGCAGGUGACAGACAAGCUCCCUUUGGACAUCUUCAAUAAUUACUUCAGCCUUGGGUUUGAUGCUCAUGUGACUUUAGAGUUCCAUGAAUCCCGAGAGGCCAACCCUGAGAAAUUUA